This 1095-nucleotide long non-coding RNA is filed under the name Gadus morhua (Atlantic cod). Its description in RNAcentral is "lncRNA (ENSGMOG00000028472.1)". Lineage: Eukaryota; Metazoa; Chordata; Actinopteri; Gadiformes; Gadidae. The record is from RNAcentral.
AUGUGUUUUGUGGGUCUGGAGAAGGCGUAUGACCGGGUCCCCCGGGAGAAACUGUGGGAGGUGCUGCGGGAGUAUGGGGUAAGGGGGUCUAUCCUCAGGGCCAUCCAAUCUCUGUACUCCCAAAGCGAGAGCUGUGUUCGCGUCCUCGGCAGCCAGUCAGUUUCGUUCUCAGUGGGUGCUGGUCUCCGCCAGGGCUGCGCCUUGUCACCAAUCCUGUUUGUGAUAUACAUGGACAGGAUAUCGAGGCGUAGUCGUGGUGGGGAGGGGUUGCAGUUCGGUGGUCUGAGGAUCUCGUCACUGCUUUUUGCAGAUGAUGUGGUCCUCAUUGGAUCAUCGGCCUGUGACCUUCAGCACUCACUGGAUCGGCUGGCGGCCGAGUGUGAAGCGGCUGGGAUGAGGAUCAGCACCGCUAAAUCUGAGGCCAUGACUCUUAGCAGGAAACCGGUGGAUUGCUUACUCCGGGUAGGAAAUGAGUCCUUAGCCCAAGUGAAGGAGUUCAAGUACCUCGGGGUCUUGUUCGCGAGUGAGGAUACUAUGGAGCGUGAGAUUGGUCGGAGAAUCGGAGCAGCGGGGGCGGUAUUGCGUUCGCUUUACCGCACCGUUGUAACGAAAAGAGAGCUGAGCCGCAAGGCAAAGCUCUCGAUCUACCGGUCGAUCUUCGUUCCUAUCCUCACCUAUGGUCACGAGGGCUGGGUGAUGACCGAAAGGACGAGAUCACGGGAACAAGCGGCCGAGAUGAGUUUUCUCAGAAGGGUGGCUGGCGUCUCCCUUAGGGAUAGGGUGAGAAGCUCAGCCAUCCGUGAGGAACUCGGAUUAGAGCCGCUGCUCCUUUACUUAGAAAGGAGUCAGCUGAGGUGGUUCGGGCAUCUGGGCGUCUUCCUUGGGAGGUGUUUCAGGCACGUCCAGUGGGGAGGAGACCUCGGGGAAGACCCAGGACUAGGUGGAGAGAUUAUAUCUCAACACUGGCCUGGGAACGCCUCGGGAUCACCCCGUCAGAGCUGGUCAAUGUGGCCCGGGAAAGGGAAGUCUGGGGCCCCCUGCUUGAGCUGCUCCCCCCGCGACCCGACCCCGGAUAAGCGGACGGAAAUGAGUUGA